Molecule: ribosomal RNA, 450 nt
Filed under: Burkholderia sp. MRh3(19)
Lineage: Bacteria; Pseudomonadati; Pseudomonadota; Betaproteobacteria; Burkholderiales; Burkholderiaceae
Description: bacterial SSU rRNA
Rfam family: Bacterial small subunit ribosomal RNA
Source: RNAcentral
GCAGUCGAACGGCAGCGCGGGAGCAAUCCUGGCGGCGAGUGGCGAACGGGUGAGUAAUACAUCGGAACGUGUCCUGUAGUGGGGGAUAGCCCGGCGAAAGCCGGAUUAAUACCGCAUACGCUCUACGGAGGAAAGGGGGGGAUCUUAGGACCUCUCGCUACAGGGGCGGCCGAUGGCGGAUUAGCUAGUUGGUGGGGUAAAGGCCUACCAAGGCGACGAUCCGUAGCUGGUCUGAGAGGACGACCAGCCACACUGGGACUGAGACACGGCCCAGACUCCUACGGGAGGCAGCAGUGGGGAAUUUUGGACAAUGGGGGCAACCCUGAUCCAGCAAUGCCGCGUGUGUGAAGAAGGCCUUCGGGUUGUAAAGCACUUUUGUCCGGAAAGAAAUCAUCCUGGUUAAUACCUGGGGUGGAUGACGGUACCGGAAGAAUAAGCACCGGCUAACUA